Molecule: ribosomal RNA, 467 nt
Filed under: uncultured bacterium
Lineage: Bacteria
Description: partial 16S ribosomal RNA
Rfam family: Bacterial small subunit ribosomal RNA
Source: RNAcentral
ACGAACGCUGGCGGCGUGCUUAACACAUGCAAGUCGAACGGAAAGGCCCUGCUUUUGUGGAGUGCUCGAGUGGCGAACGGGUGAGUAACACGUGAGUAACCUGCCCUUGACUUUGGGAUAACUUCAGGAAACUGGGGCUAAUACCGGAUAGGAGCUCCUGCUGCAUGGUGGGGGUUGGAAAGUUUCGGCGGUUGGGGAUGGACUCGCGGCUUAUCAGCUUGUUGGUGGGGUAGUGGCUUACCAAGGCUUUGACGGGUAGCCGGCCUGAGAGGGUGACCGGCCACAUUGGGACUGAGAUACGGCCCAGACUCCUACGGGAGGCAGCAGUGGGGAAUAUUGCACAAUGGGCGGAAGCCUGAUGCAGCAACGCCGCGUGCGGGAUGACGGCCUUCGGGUUGUAAACCGCUUUCGCCUGUGACGAAGCGUGAGUGACGGUAAUGGGUAAAGAAGCACCGGCUAACUACGUG